CAUGGUUAAGUGGGAAACGAUGUGGGAAGGCCCAGACAGCCAGGAUGUUGGCUUAGAAGCAGCCAUCAUUUAAAGAAAGCGUAAUAGCUCACUGGUCGAGUCGGCCUGCGCGGAAGAUGUAACGGGGCUAAACCAUGCACCGAAGCUGCGGCAGCGACGCUUAUGCGUUGUUGGGUAGGGGAGCGUUCUGUAAGCCUGUGAAGGUGUGCUGUGAGGUAUGCUGGAGGUAUCAGAAGUGCGAAUGCUGACAUAAGUAACGAUAAAGCGGGUGAAAAGCCCGCUCGCCGGAAGACCAAGGGUUCCUGUCCAACGUUAAUCGGGGCAGGGUGAGUCGACCCCUAAGGCGAGGCCGAAAGGCGUAGUCGAUGGGAAACAGGUUAAUAUUCCUGUACUUGGUGUUACUGCGAAGGGGGGACGGAGAAGGCUAUGUUGGCCGGGCGACGGUUGUCCCGGUUUAAGCGUGUAGGCUGGUUUUCCAGGCAAAUCCGGAAAAUCAAGGCCGAGGCGUGAUGACGAGGCACUACGGUGCUGAAGCAACAAAUGCCCUGCUUCCAGGAAAAGCCUCUAAGCAUCAGGUAACAUCAAAUCGUACCCCAAACCGACACAGGUGGUCAGGUAGAGAAUACCAAGGCGCUUGAGAGAACUCGGGUGAAGGAACUAGGCAAAAUGGUGCCGUAACUUCGGGAGAAGGCACGCUGAUACGUAGGUGAAGCGACUUGCUCGUGGAGCUGAAAUCAGUCGAAGAUACCAGCUGGCUGCAACUGUUUAUUAAAAACACAGCACUGUGCAAACACGAAAGUGGACGUAUACGGUGUGACGCCUGCCCGGUGCCGGAAGGUUAAUUGAUGGGGUUAGCGCAAGCGAAGCUCUUGAUCGAAGCCCCGGUAAACGGCGGCCGUAACUAUAACGGUCCUAAGGUAGCGAAAUUCCUUGUCGGGUAAGUUCCGACCUGCACGAAUGGCGUAAUGAUGGCCAGGCUGUCUCCACCCGAGACUCAGUGAAAUUGAACUCGCUGUGAAGAUGCAGUGUACCCGCGGCAAGACGGAAAGACCCCGUGAACCUUUACUAUAGCUUGACACUGAACAUUGAGCCUUGAUGUGUAGGAUAGGUGGGAGGCUUUGAAGUGUGGACGCCAGUCUGCAUGGAGCCGACCUUGAAAUACCACCCUUUAAUGUUUGAUGUUCUAACGUGGACCCGUGAUCCGGGUUGCGGACAGUGUCUGGUGGGUAGUUUGACUGGGGCGGUCUCCUCCUAAAGAGUAACGGAGGAGCACGAAGGUUGGCUAAUCCUGGUCGGACAUCAGGAGGUUAGUGCAAUGGCAUAAGCCAGCUUGACUGCGAGCGUGACGGCGCGAGCAGGUGCGAAAGCAGGUCAUAGUGAUCCGGUGGUUCUGAAUGGAAGGGCCAUCGCUCAACGGAUAAAAGGUACUCCGGGGAUAACAGGCUGAUACCGCCCAAGAGUUCAUAUCGACGGCGGUGUUUGGCACCUCGAUGUCGGCUCAUCACAUCCUGGGGCUGAAGUAGGUCCCAAGGGUAUGGCUGUUCGCCAUUUAAAGUGGUACGCGAGCUGGGUUUAGAACGUCGUGAGACAGUUCGGUCCCUAUCUGCCGUGGGCGCUGGAGAACUGAGGGGGGCUGCUCCUAGUACGAGAGGACCGGAGUGGACGCAUCACUGGUGUUCGGGUUGUCAUGCCAAUGGCACUGCCCGGUAGCUAAAUGCGGAAGAGAUAAGUGCUGAAAGCAUCUAAGCACGAAACUUGCCCCGAGAUGAGUUCUCCCUGACCCUUUAAGGGUCCUGAAGGAACGUUGAAGACGACGACGUUGAUAG
This 1826-nucleotide ribosomal RNA is filed under the name Shigella flexneri. Its description in RNAcentral is "partial 23S ribosomal RNA". It matches the Rfam family "Bacterial large subunit ribosomal RNA", at positions 1054 to 2859 of the family's 2925-position model. Lineage: Bacteria; Pseudomonadati; Pseudomonadota; Gammaproteobacteria; Enterobacterales; Enterobacteriaceae. The record is from RNAcentral.